CCUACGGGUGGCAGCAGUGGGGAAUAUUGCGCAAUGGGCGAAAGCCUGACGCAGCGACGCAGCGUGAGGGAUGAAGGUCUUCGGAGCGUAAACCUCUGUCAGCAGGGAAGAACGGUCACGGUGCUAAUCAGCCGUGAAUUGACGGUACCUGCAAAGGAAGCACCGGCUAACUCCGUGACAGCAGCCGCGGUAAUACGGAGGGUGCGAGCGUUAAUCGGAAUUACUGGUUGAAAAGCGCGCGUAGGCGGUAUGUCAAGUCAAGUGGGAAAUCCCCGAGCUCAACGUGGGAACUGCCUUUGAAACUGGCAACCUUGAGUUUGUGAGAGGAUAGUGGAAUUCCAGGUGUAGCGGUGAAAUCCGUAGAUAUCUGGAGGAACAUCAGUGGCGAAGGCGACUAUCUGGCACAUAACUGACGCUGAGGAGCGAAAGCGUGGGUAGCAAACAGGAUUAGAUACCCUAGUAGUC
This 465-nucleotide ribosomal RNA is filed under the name uncultured bacterium. Its description in RNAcentral is "partial 16S ribosomal RNA". It matches the Rfam family "Bacterial small subunit ribosomal RNA", at positions 338 to 795 of the family's 1533-position model. The record is from RNAcentral.